This 200-nucleotide unclassified non-coding RNA is filed under the name Ascomycota sp. RNAcentral describes it as "partial internal transcribed spacer 2". Lineage: Eukaryota; Fungi; Ascomycota. The record is from RNAcentral.
UUAAGUUCAGCGGGUAUCCCCACCUGAUCCGAGGUCAAACUUUAGGUGCGAGACUGGUGGCAAGCACCGCCACGAGCUCCUGAAGCGAGAGUAAGACUUGCUACGCUUGGAGCCGGACGGUACCGCCAACGGGUUGUAGACGGGUCGCCACGACCGCGUCCAAUACCAAGCGGUGCUUGAUGGUUUAAAUGACGCUCGAA